This is a long non-coding RNA of Passer domesticus (house sparrow), 1911 nucleotides long. RefSeq lists it as uncharacterized. The record is from RefSeq and is a predicted model, not a curated record. Lineage: Eukaryota; Metazoa; Chordata; Aves; Passeriformes; Passeridae. The transcript is spliced from 5 exons.
GCUGAGGAUGGAUCACCGCAGCAGGCCCAGCUGGGCUGGCAGACAUUUCCCCACUUGCUGGUGGCCAGCCACAAGCCCCUGGUGUGGGUGUCAGCCUGGACUUAGCAUCCAGCUCUUCUCAAAACCCAGGGGAGGUGUGCUCAGGUGCAUUGCUUCUGACGUGAUGAUUAGCAAAGAAACCUACAAUGACUUUUGACUUUGCUGUCACUGAUUUAACUUAGAAAGUUUGGCAGAUUUGAGGACUGCAAAGUAUAUCUCCAUCAAAAUGAAAGAGGAGAAGAAAGAAAAGUAGAAAUGCAUUGCUUGGAUAGCAUUCCUUUAAAUGGAGAAGACCUUUUGGCUCCAAGUCUGACUGAAAAUGAUUCUAUCUACCAAAAUCUGCUGAAACAACUGAAGUAUGUGUGACCUGUAUCAUGUGUGGGCAUGAAUGGAUGGAGGGGAUUUUGAGGUGUUAUUAAAGAAAGGACACUUCUGUGAAGAAAACUGUGUUGAUUUCUGCUGUCAAGUGAAUGAGAGUAUUUGAAGUCCUGCUGUAUCCAAUUUCCAAGUGAUAAAAGAAGCUGUGGAGAUGCAGUUAUGAUGAGAGAAAAGUGGCAAGCAAAUAACUGGCAGAUAAAAACUGGUUUAGAGAUUAAAUGAAUACAUAAACUGACCCUAGACUAGGCUAGGACACAAAAAGUUAUUUAAAUAAGAAAUUUUGGACUAGGAAAAAAAUGGAAACUCAACACUUUCUCAUGCUUCAUAGAAUGAGAAGAAAAUGUUUGCUGCUCUGAAGUUGCCCAGUGAAGAGAAAGGAUGUUGAAGAGCUGGAGAUCCUUGGAGAUUUUGCUGCUACUGAGAGCAAGAAUAUAUUGAAGCAACUGCUCUUGUUCAAGGCGUUUUCUGUAGACAUAUCUGAUUUGUCCUGGACAUAACUAGGUCUCUAAUUUUAUAAGACACAGUAUUUUAGGGCUGAAGUCAGUCAGUUGAGAAAACUGAAAUUUGUGGGAAAUCUGUUUUGUUCCGGGGUUCUUUUAGAAAGAUUUACUAAUGAGAUUUUGAUUUUGCUAUUGUUAUUGAGGAGUAGCUAAGAAUUUGUUACCAAAAAAUUGAUUUUGAUUUGUUUUACAUGACUACGACUACAAUAUAAUAAAUAGAAAUAUAAAUAUUGCUAUAUAUAAAAAUACUACUCUUUAGUUUUAAAAAAUUAAUUUUCCUUUUUUUAAAAUAGCAUUUACUCUGUAUUUAUCUGGUUGAUUACUCAUGAACAUACUGCUUACCUCUUGCAGUUUUUUCAGCAUGUUGUGUUAGAAACUAGUCCUGUAAACCUAAGAAGGACUUUUAGCUACAGCUUUUAAGCAGACUUUGUAUUUUGAAAAAAACGUAUUUUUCUUGCUUUUCUGCCCAUUAAUCUUACUAGAUUCUGAUUUGGGUUUUUAAAUGUCAUCUCAACCAACACUUAGCCCUCAUUUAAAAAGAAAAAUAAUUUUUUUUUUAUUCUUUAUGGAGUAUUAGAAUCUCAGAAUGGUUUGGGUCAGAAGGCAUCUUAAAGCUCAUCGAGUUCCAACCCCUCUGCCAUCGGCAUGGGCACCAUCUACUGGACCACAUUUUACAAUGUCCCCUCCAACGUGAUCUUGAGCCCCACCACAAGGCAUCCACAGCUUCCCUGCGCAAUGUCUUCCAGUGCUUCACCACCCUCACAGUGAAGAAUUUCUUCCCAUAUCUCAUCUAAACCUGCUCUAAUUGUUAAAGCUGCUCCCCCUUCUCCUGGCACUACACGCUCUUGUAAAAAGUCACUCUCCAUGACUGUUGUGGGCUGCCAUCAGGCCCCAGCAGGCAGCUCAAAGGUCUUCCAUGGAGCUUUCUCUUCUCUAGACUGAACAACCACAACCCAGCCUGUUUUCUCAGGAGAGCUGUUCCAGCCCUCUGAUC